CAAUAUAAGUGAUGGCGACCGGCGCGCGGGUGAGUAACACGUAUCCAACCUGCCGAUAACUCGGGGAUAGCCUUUCGAAAGAAAGAUUAAUACCCGAUGGUAUAAUAAAACCGCAUGGUUUAAUUAUUAAAGAAUUUCGGUUAUCGAUGGGGAUGCGUUCCAUUAGGCAGUUGGUGAGGUAACGGCUCACCAAACCUUCGAUGGAUAGGGGUUCUGAGAGGAAGGUCCCCCACAUUGGAACUGAGACACGGUCCAA
Molecule: ribosomal RNA, 256 nt
Filed under: uncultured bacterium
Lineage: Bacteria
Description: partial 16S ribosomal RNA
Rfam family: Bacterial small subunit ribosomal RNA
Source: RNAcentral